RNAcentral lists this ribosomal RNA (584 nucleotides) under uncultured bacterium. Its description in RNAcentral is "partial 16S ribosomal RNA". It matches the Rfam family "Bacterial small subunit ribosomal RNA", at positions 355 to 1375 of the family's 1533-position model. The record is from RNAcentral.
UGGGGAAUUUUGGACAAUGGGCGAAAGCCUGAUCCAGCAAUGCCGCGUGUGUGAAGAAGGCCUUCGGGUUGUAAAGCACUUUUGUCCGGAAAGAAAUCCUCUGGGUUAAUACCUCGGGGGGAUGACGGUACCGGAAGAAUAAGCACCGGCUAACUACGUGCCAGCAGCCGCGGUAAUACGUAGGGUGCAAGCGUUAAUCGGAAUUACUGGGCGUAAAGCGUGCGCAGGCGGUUUUGUAAGACGGAUGUGAAAUCCCCGGGCUUAACCUGGGAACUGCAUUCGUGACUGCAAGGCUAGAGUAUGGCAGAGGGGGGUAAAUUCCACGUGUAGCAGUGAAAUGCGUAGAGAUGUGGAGGAAUACCGAUGGCGAAGGCAGCCCCCUGGGCCAAUACUGACGCUCAUGCACGAAAGCGUGGGGAGCAAACAGGAUUAGAUACCCUGGUAGUCCACGCCCUAAACGAUGUCAACUAGUUGUUGGGGAUUCAUUUCCUUAGUAACGUAGCUAACGCGUGAAGUUGACCGCCUGGGGAGUACGGUCGCAAGAUUAAAACUCAAAGGAAUUGACGGGGUCAUAGCUGUUUCCU